Molecule: non-coding RNA, 1497 nt
Organism: Prunus avium (sweet cherry)
Lineage: Eukaryota; Viridiplantae; Streptophyta; Magnoliopsida; Rosales; Rosaceae
Source: RefSeq, a predicted model, not a curated record
UCUCUCUCUCUCUCUCUCUCUCUCUCUCUCACUCACUGUUUCUCUGUAGAUUUGAUGGUUCUCUUGUUCAAGUUUCUGAUUUGCGUUCAUAUCUCUCAUGGCUUUUGACUUUAAUGGGUUCAUAACUUCAUAUUUCUCAUGUUUAAUGUGCUGUAAUGUUUAAUGAGUUUGAAUGUUUAAAUUUCUAUUUUUUCUUUUUUCGGUAAAAUUAAUGGAUCUUCCCAUUAGUUAGAUAUAUAUAUGGGUCUUCAUUUUGUCUUUUUUCUGGUGAAAUUAGUGGGUCUUCUAUUAGAUUAGCUCAUCAAAAUUUGUUUGGGUGCUAACUGUGCUGUGAUGAAGAAAAUGAUUGGGCGAGGGAGAGAGGUGGGUUCUGUGAUGGUGAUGUGCGGGUGGGAUUUGCAGAAAGUUAAAAGAGAUGGGGUAUUUGAUUAAUAUAUAUAAGGUUGGGGGUGGGGGGUGGAAUCCUUAAUGUGUCAUCAAUGUCACAGAGGCAGGGUUGUUCGCUGCAAAAUUUGUAAGAGAAAACGAUAAUGUGUUCCUUGCAUACAGAACUGGUAUGCAUUUAUGUGCUUAAUCUUUCUUAUUCAUUUAUGAUUAACAACUUUUAAAAUAUGCUGGAUUGUUUGGGUUUGUUUUGUUGGACUAGCCACGAUUCUUUGAAGUGAGUUUACCUCAGUAGAAUCCGGUAAAAAAAUAGGACCUUUGGCCUUUUCCUUUCAAUUAAAAAUUAAGAUUUUGGUGCUUGUGUUUUAUGCAUGAUAUUAGUGGUAAUCGAAGUCAACUGACUCACAUGGUAUACAGGGUGAGUAUUGCACUUUCUUAGAAAUAAAUACUUGAAAAUUUGUAGGGUCCAAGUCUACAGAGGGAUGGCAAGUGAUUAGGUCUUUGAACAAGCCAUGAGCGUGAGCGAAAAGAGGUUGUCAGUCAGAUUGAGCGAGAUCGAGCCCCAGAAAAGACCUCGAUCAGAACCCCCUUGCAACAAAGAGUCCAGGCCCACACUGGAUCUAAAGGAGGUGUGGGGUAAGGGGACUUUAGUAUGGCAUCCUUACGACAGCAGUGAUGACGAAGAUGAGGGCGAUGAGGACGUGUAUUAUAUGUUCAAGGGUGACUUUGACAGCAAAAGGGAGGCGCUACGGGAAGAAAAGGCGAUACGCAGACGUCUUAGAGGAAAAUUGCCCGAAGAAAAGCAAAAAACCACUGCGGAAGCGGAAGAGCAAACCAGUAAUAAGCUAAGAAAGGGGCGAAUGUUUUGUGUCGUCAAAGGUAUGGUAUUAUGUGUUGUUUUAUCCUUCAUUCUUUGUUUUUGAGACAAAUUUCAUUAAAAAAUUAUGGAAACCCUCCAUCCCAAAAAAUAUUCUAAAACCCUAAACCCCAACCCAGUAAUUUCAGCUCAAACAAACUAAAGAAGAAUAGUUUCGGGUUCAAAUGAAAUGUAUUUUUGUUGGAUGAAUUUAUGAAAUUGGGACUUAACUAGUGAGCUAGCCCUUGAAUUCUUAA